This 444-nucleotide ribosomal RNA is filed under the name Triticum aestivum (bread wheat). RNAcentral describes it as "partial small subunit ribosomal RNA". Lineage: Eukaryota; Viridiplantae; Streptophyta; Magnoliopsida; Poales; Poaceae. The record is from RNAcentral.
AUGGGGAGUACCCUGGCAAGGGCGAAUUGUUCCUCCUCCUGUGUAUCACCUUCCUUCUCCGAUCCACCAUAUUCAAGUAAUUGGUGCUUCGAGUCUGAGCAGAUCGAUCUCCGCCGCCGACCAGACCUUCGCACGCCCGAUCUCACGCCCCAUAGCAGGAGGCGGCUAUCUGCUGUGGGAUCGGGCGAGGGUUUUGGUGCCGCCAUCUCCGCACUUCCAGAAAGAGAUCGGGAGAGGCUGAGCCCAGAGCUAGAUGAAGGAGAAGAGAAUGUCCAUGGAUCAUUAAGGGGCGGCGGCGACACAAGGCUGAUGAAGGUGUUUGUAGGUGGCCUGGCGUGGGAGACGAGCAAGGAGGGCGUGCGCGUCCACUUCGAGCGCUUCAGCGAGAUCCUCGAGGCCGUCGUCAUCGCCGACAAGGGCACCGGCAGAUCCAAGGGCAGCUGA